GAAAUGCGAUAAGUAAUGUGAAUUGCAGAAUUCAGUGAAUCAUCGAAUCUUUGAACGCACAUUGCGCCCGCCAGUAUUCUGGCGGGCAUGCCUGUUCGAGCGUCAUUUCAACCAUCAAGCCCCGCGCUUGUGUUGGGGGCCUGCGGCUGCCGCAGGCCCUGAAAACCAGUGGCGGGCUCGCUGUCACACCGGGCGUAGUAGAUUUUAUCUCGCUCAGGGCGUGCUGCGGGUUCCGGCCGUUAAAAAGCCUUUUUUACCCAAGGUUGACCUCGGAUCAGGUAGGAAGACCCGCUGAACUUAAGC
Molecule: unclassified non-coding RNA, 303 nt
Filed under: plant metagenome
Description: partial contains 5.8S ribosomal RNA, internal transcribed spacer 2, and large subunit ribosomal RNA
Rfam family: 5.8S ribosomal RNA (bases 1-105)
Source: RNAcentral